UACAGAGGUCUCAAGCGUUGUUCGGAUUCAUUGGGCGUAAAGGGUGCGUAGGUGGCGCCGUAAGUCGGGUGUGAAAUUUCGGAGCUUAACUCCGAAACUGCAUUCGAUACUGCGGUGCUUGAGGACUGGAGAGGAGACUGGAAUUCAUGGUGUAGCAGUGAAAUGCGUAGAGAUCAUGAGGAAGACCAGUGGCGAAGGCGGGUCUCUGGACAGUUCCUGACACUGAGGCACGAAGGCCGGGGGAGCAAACGGG
Molecule: ribosomal RNA, 253 nt
Filed under: uncultured bacterium
Lineage: Bacteria
Description: partial 16S ribosomal RNA
Rfam family: Bacterial small subunit ribosomal RNA
Source: RNAcentral